RNAcentral lists this ribosomal RNA (741 nucleotides) under Actinomycetes bacterium. Its description in RNAcentral is "bacterial SSU rRNA". It matches the Rfam family "Bacterial small subunit ribosomal RNA", at positions 80 to 830 of the family's 1533-position model. Lineage: Bacteria; Bacillati; Actinomycetota; Actinomycetes. The record is from RNAcentral.
UUGCACCGUGGAUUAGUGGCGAACGGGUGAGUAAUACGUGAGUGACCUACCUUUGACUCUGGGAUAAGCCUGGGAAACUGGGUCUAAUACCGGAUACGACCAAUCUCUGCAUGGGGUGUUGGUGGAAAGCGUUAUGGAGUGGUUUUAGAUGGGCUCACGGCCUAUCAGCUUGUUGGUGAGGUAAUGGCUUACCAAGGCGACGACGGGUAGCCGGCCUGAGAGGGUGACCGGCCACACUGGGACUGAGACACGGCCCAGACUCCUACGGGAGGCAGCAGUGGGGAAUAUUGCACAAUGGGCGCAAGCCUGAUGCAGCGACGCCGCGUGAGGGAUGACGGCCUUCGGGUUGUAAACCUCUGUUAGCAUCGAAGAAGCGAAAGUGACGGUAGGUGCAGAGAAAGCGCCGGCUAACUACGUGCCAGCAGCCGCGGUAAUACGUAGGGCGCGAGCGUUGUCCGGAAUUAUUGGGCGUAAAGAGCUUGUAGGCGGUUGGUCGCGUCUGCUGUGAAAGGCCGGGGCUUAACUCCGGUUUUGCAGUGGGUACGGGCUAACUAGAGUGCAGUAGGGGAGACUGGAAUUCCUGGUGUAGCGGUGGAAUGCACAGAUAUCAGGAGGAACACCGAUGGCGAAGGCAGGUCUCUGGGCUGUAACUGACGCUGAGAAGCGAAAGCAUGGGGAGCGAACAGGAUUAGAUACCCUGGUAGUCCAUGCCGUAAACGUUGGGCACUAGGUGUGGGGGGA